Molecule: long non-coding RNA, 399 nt
Organism: Acinonyx jubatus (cheetah)
Lineage: Eukaryota; Metazoa; Chordata; Mammalia; Carnivora; Felidae
Exons: 3
Source: RefSeq, a predicted model, not a curated record
UAAGGAAAAUUGUAAUUUACUGAGAGCAUGAACUAUUCACAAAUAAGAAUACAAGACGGAAUGCAUUCUGCAGAGGAGCAGUCACGUUCCUGCCCCAGGGAUUUUUCACUGGCCUUCUCUCUGCCUGAAUAUUUUCCCCUGCAUGGAUCAUUCCAAGUCUUUCAGCAAAUGCCACCUUCUUAGGUAAAGUCAUGGAAAAUGAAGAAUGGAUUAAGCAUGGUGCUUGCUGAAAGCAAAUGUGUUUUUAGCUGUUAUGAAACAAAAUGAGAUCUAUAAAUACCAGUAAUCUAUAGAAUGUAUACCACUAGAAAAUGUUUGUUUUUUGUGUUGUUAUUUCUUUAUUAAUGGUAAAAAUAAUACAGGGAUGACAAAUGCCUUUCAUUUUGAAAAAUAUAUAUA